UACGUAGGGUGCAAGCGUUAAUCGGAAUUACUGGGCGUAAAGCGUGCGCAGGCGGUGAUGUAAGACAGGUGUGAAAUCCCCGGGCUCAACCUGGGAACUGCAUUUGUGACUGCAUCGCUGGAGUGCGGCAGAGGGGGAUGGAAUUCCGCGUGUAGCAGUGAAAUGCGUAGAUAUGCGGAGGAACACCGAUGGCGCAGGCAAUCCCCUGGGCCUGCACUGACGCUCAUGCACGAAAGCGUGGGGAGCAAACAGG
RNAcentral lists this ribosomal RNA (253 nucleotides) under uncultured bacterium. Its description in RNAcentral is "partial 16S ribosomal RNA". It matches the Rfam family "Bacterial small subunit ribosomal RNA", at positions 524 to 776 of the family's 1533-position model. The record is from RNAcentral.